GAAGAAAGUACAGUGGACUAAAUCAUCUGACAAUAGGAUUAAGUGCACCAGAACUGUAACUUUACUUUUGGGGAAUUUAACUUAAUUUCUGUUGUGAGACCCCCCUCCCCAGCCUCAUUUGCUAGGAAGGCAGAAGCUUCAUCUUCAGUAUUUUCUCCUCCACCUUUCAGGAAUGCCAAAAUUGCAGGGAUACAGUGCCCAGGAAUCAGGCUUUUGAAGAUUGCUUUUCUUAAAAGCAGUAAUUACCCUGAGAUCUCUGCUUGUAAAUGAGCUCAGAACUGUCUCAAAACUAUGAACUCACCAGAAUAGCCAUAUGCUAAUGGGAGCUGGAAGCAAAAGGUGAAGAGGAAAGAGGAG
Heterocephalus glaber (naked mole-rat) is the source of this 357-nucleotide long non-coding RNA. The record is from Ensembl. Lineage: Eukaryota; Metazoa; Chordata; Mammalia; Rodentia; Bathyergidae.